CCCAUGGCCUGUAAUUAAUGAGAUGCUAUAAUUGUAACCACUUUGCUCAUGAAACUGCUCUAUUUUUACUUGGCUCUCGACAUUCAAACUUGCUAACACGCUGACGUAUAUUUUUUACGCCAUUUUACUAACUUAGCAUCUUGACCAUGCAGGCUAAAUAGCACAUACACUUCCCUAGCUUGGAUGAAUGCUGUUUAGGGAGAAAAAAAAUAUAUCUUAAUCACCUUUCAGGUUUUCUUUGUUAUUAUUAGGUUACUGGGGCUUUUUUUCAGUCAGUUUGAUUGGAAGUUUAAAUAUAUUGCUCUUUUGGCAUUGUUGUUGCUGGCACUCCAUGGCAGCAACCAGGCUGAUUCUUCACCCCAGUUUCCCAGGUGAGCACAGCAGUGCCUUGCUCAUACAGGUGAGUGUGACCCUGCAAAGACACAACCAUGCUGCAAUUCCAGAGCAGAAAGGUCCCAAGCCAGUGAUUUCUCUCAUUCCUGGCUCAAAGUAACAGGAUUUGAAAAGCACUAGUACAAAAGGGCAACAGUUUUCAUGUCUUUCAGCAAUGAAUUGUAGCUCUUGAAAAGUAUUCAAAACUCAGAGCUGGGUGUUAUGGUAAUUGUCUGAUGACUAAUGAAGGACAAAUGCCUCGAUAAUUAGGAUAAUUAAAGUCUGAAAGGCUCUGGGUUAGAUUUUAGAAACAUCAUUCACUCCUGUAAUUUUUUUCCUUCUGUUUGCUUACUCAAUUUAUCUUUUAAUGGUUUAUUUUAAUCUCUGUUUUGCCAUUUUACCUAUAGUUUUUAUAUAACGUAAACAUGUGCAGCAAUUUUCUUCAACAGUUUAUGAGUUGUAUGACUCAGAAGUCCCUGAAGUCCCAGUUCAGAACUUUGCUGCUCCGUGACUGCAUUACAUCUCACUGCCUUCACCUUCACCAGGGACCUUUCAAACACAUGGCUAAUGGCCCCAGAAUCUUCCGCUCUUUCUACAGGGCUUCUGCAAGGUCCAUGGCAAACCUUGGGAUGAAGGGAAAAAAGGAAACAUGCAACCUCUUACCUCCAAUAUCUUCUUGGAUGGGGGUUGUGCAUUUGUUGGCAGUUCCCUGUUGUAGUCCUGCAAGGUGUUAAGCAGCUUUUGAUUCUCUUGAGGCUGGUAGAUGCUGGGAGCACUUGGGAGCGCUGAGACGUGGAUGGCAUCAAGUCAGAUCCACUUCAUGAAGCCUACAGAAAGGAGGCCAGCCCGUCACAAGCUCUGUUCACAUAAUCUACAGCUUUGAUUGCUGCGGAUGAAGACCUGAAUGAGGCUUUUUUCACAUCGAAUUUCUUUCCAGUUUUCAAUUUAAAUUGAACAAUCAGCACUUCAGGAGAAGCUCCAAGUUUCUCAUUCCUUUGACAUUGGCACAAUAAGCUGGCUUAGGAUCGAGUCCUGCAAAGAGUCCUGGAGGAAAUUCCAGUCUGGUGCACAGCCAAAGGAGGUAUGGACUGCCAGUCUGUGGACAUAAUUUUUGCACAGUGGGAGUCAAAAUACAACUGUUUAGAAAUAAAGUAGGGAAGUCAUUACCA
Molecule: long non-coding RNA, 1541 nt
Filed under: Anas platyrhynchos platyrhynchos (common mallard)
Lineage: Eukaryota; Metazoa; Chordata; Aves; Anseriformes; Anatidae
Description: lncRNA (ENSAPLG00000023091.1)
Source: RNAcentral